This is a non-coding RNA of Acanthosepion pharaonis, 110 nucleotides long. The record is from the annotation of a GenBank genome assembly. Lineage: Eukaryota; Metazoa; Mollusca; Cephalopoda; Sepiida; Sepiidae.
UAUGGCCAUAUCACCAUGAAAAACCUGUUCCUAUAUGAACACUGAAGUUAAGUGAUAUUGAGCCUAGUCAGUAUCUAGAGGGGUGACCACUUUGAAAUACCUGGUGUUAU